Molecule: long non-coding RNA, 618 nt
Filed under: Phoenix dactylifera (date palm)
Lineage: Eukaryota; Viridiplantae; Streptophyta; Magnoliopsida; Arecales; Arecaceae
Description: long non-coding RNA (PDAC_LNC000415)
Source: RNAcentral
GGUAGGGGAUGGAACAGGAGUUGGACCACUCAGGGACCAUUUGAUCCCUUCUUGACUGCAUUUAUUUAUUUUGGAAGUAAUGGUGCACUAAGAGCUGGGUCCCUUUUGUGUGCCCAUUGUUUCACGAUUCAAUCAAGCAAUGUGAAGGUUGAUGUAUCUCCCAUGUAACUGGAUCGAUGAAUGUCAUCGGGAUAAAUCGAAAUAUUUCAAAAUUUAAUUUAAAAUAAUAAAGAAGAUAUUACCACAAUCUAGCUUGAUAUAUUGAUUGGUGAUGUCAUUUCAAGCGUCAAGUUAUGAUUUUAUGUUGAUUGUAUAGGAGCUCGCAAUGAAAUUUAUUGGAAGGAGGACCGACCCAGACUAAUAAACCUAUAUAACAUCCUUUUUAUUAGUUGAUACGGGACUAUGAGAAGCAGGAGCCUUCUACAUGAAUGUGCGACACCUCAUGUUGAUUUUUGUUAGCAAGAUAACAAGGUUGGGAUUUUAUAUAUAAAAUCAACUAGUGGCCAAUACCAAUAAAAUUCAUUAUGCUACCAAAACGUUGUAUAUGAUGUAGGCAUGUGUCCAUUUAAUAUUGUGGAUUUGACGUACCAUGUAAGCAAGUGUAGCUAUACAUAUUGC